RNAcentral lists this ribosomal RNA (253 nucleotides) under uncultured bacterium. Its description in RNAcentral is "partial 16S ribosomal RNA". It matches the Rfam family "Bacterial small subunit ribosomal RNA", at positions 524 to 776 of the family's 1533-position model. The record is from RNAcentral.
UACGUAGGAGGCAAGCGUUGUCCGGAAUUACUGGGCGUAAAGCGCGUGUAGGUGGUGGGACAAGUCUGCUGUGAAAGCGCCUGGCUUAACCGGGCGAGGUCGGCGGAAACUGUCCGACUCGAGGACGGUAGAGGGGGGUGGAAUUCCCGGUGUAGUGGUGAAAUGCGUAGAGAUCGGGAGGAACACCUGUGGCGAAGGCGGCCCCCUGGGCCGGCCCUGACACUGAGGCGCGAAAGCUAGGGGAGCAAACAGG